Molecule: ribosomal RNA, 1347 nt
Filed under: uncultured bacterium
Lineage: Bacteria
Description: bacterial SSU rRNA
Rfam family: Bacterial small subunit ribosomal RNA
Source: RNAcentral
GACGAACUUUGGCGGCGUGCUUAACACAUGCAAGUCGAACGGAAAGGCCCUGCUUUUGUGGGGUGCUCGAGUGGCGAACGGGUGAGUAACACGUGAGUAACCUGCCCUUGACUUUGGGAUAACUUCAGGAAACUGGGGCUAAUACCGGAUAGGAGCUCCUGCUGCAUGGUGGGGGUUGGAAAGUUUCGGCGGUUGGGGAUGGACUCGCGGCUUAUCAGCUUGUUGGUGGGGUAGUGGCUUACCAAGGCUUUGACGGGUAGCCGGCCUGAGAGGGUGACCGGCCACAUUGGGACUGAGAUACGGCCCAGACUCCUACGGGAGGCAGCAGUGGGGAAUAUUGCACAAUGGGCGGAAGCCUGAUGCAGCAACGCCGCGUGCGGGAUGACGGCCUUCGGGUUGUAAACCGCUUUCGCCUGUGACGAAGCGUGAGUGACGGUAAUGGGUAAAGAAGCACCGGCUAACUACGUGCCAGCAGCCGCGGUGAUACGUAGGGUGCGAGCGUUGUCCGGAUUUAUUGGGGCGUAAAGGGCUCGUAGGUGGUUGAUCGCGUCGGAAGUGUAAUCUUGGGGCUUAACCCUGAGCGUGCUUUCGAUACGGGUUGACUUGAGGAAGGUAGGGGAGAAUGGAAUUCCUGGUGGAGCGGUGGAAUGCGCAGAUAUCAGGAGGAACACCAGUGGCGAAGGCGGUUCUCUGGGCCUUUCCUGACGCUGAGGAGCGAAAGCGUGGGGAGCGAACAGGCUUAGAUACCCUGGUAGUCCACGCUGUAAACGGUGGGUACUAGGUGUGGGGUCCAUUCCACGGGUUCCGUGCCGUAGCUAACGCUUUAAGUACCCCGCCUGGGGAGUACGGCCGCAAGGCUAAAACUCAAAGGAAUUGACGGGGCCCCGCACAAGCGGCGGAGCAUGCGGAUUAAUUCGAUGCAACGCGUAGAACCUUACCUGGGUUUGACAUGGAUCGGGAGUGCUCAGAGAUGGGUGUGCCUCUUUUGGGGUCGGUUCACAGGUGGUGCAUGCCUGUCGUCAGCUCGUGUCGUGAGAUGUUGGGUUAAGUCCCGCAACGAGCGCAACCCUUGUUCACUGUUGCCAGCACGUUAUGGUGGGGACUCAGUGGAGACCGCCGGGGUCAACUCGGAGGAAGGUGGGGAUGACGUCAAGUCCUCAUGCCCCUUAUGUCCAGGGCUUCACGCAUGCUACAAUGGCUGGUACAGAGAGUGGCGAGCCUGUGAGGGUGAGCGAAUCUCGGAAAGCCGGUCUCAGUUCGGAUUGGGGUCUGCAACUCGACCUCAUGAAGUCGGAGUCGCUAGUAAUCGCAGAUCAGCAACGCUGCGGUGAAUACGUUCCCGGGGCU